Molecule: ribosomal RNA, 250 nt
Filed under: uncultured bacterium
Lineage: Bacteria
Description: partial 16S ribosomal RNA
Rfam family: Bacterial small subunit ribosomal RNA
Source: RNAcentral
CCCGGGGCCGGACCGGGACGGGGUAGGUAACGGGUACGCGACUUACCUAUCAGAGGGGGAUAACCCGGCGAAAGCGGACUAAUACCGCAUGAAGCAGGGGCCCCGCAUGGGGAUAUUUGCUAAAGAUUCAUCGCUGAUAGAUAGGCAUGCGUUCCAUUAGGCAGUUGGCGGGGUAACGGCCCACCAAACCGACGAUGGAUAGGGGUUCUGAGAGGAAGGUCCCCCACAUUGGUACUGAGACACGGACCAA